RNAcentral lists this ribosomal RNA (345 nucleotides) under Pasteurella multocida. Its description in RNAcentral is "bacterial SSU rRNA". It matches the Rfam family "Bacterial small subunit ribosomal RNA", at positions 532 to 878 of the family's 1533-position model. The record is from RNAcentral. Lineage: Bacteria; Pseudomonadati; Pseudomonadota; Gammaproteobacteria; Pasteurellales; Pasteurellaceae.
GUGCNAGCGUUNAUCGGAAUNACUGGGCGUAAAGGGCACGCAGGCGGNCUUUUAAGUGAGAUGUGAAAUCCCCGAGCUUAACUUGGGAACUGCAUUUCAGACUGGGAGUCUAGAGUCUCGUAGAGGGGGGAAGAAUUCCAGGUGUAGCGGUGAAAUGCGUAGAGAUCUGGAGGAAUACCGGUGGCGAAGGCGGCCCCCCUGGAAUGUACUGACGCUCAUGUGCUAAAGCGUGGGGAGCAAACAGGAUUAGAUACCCUGGUAGUCCACGCUGUAAACGCUGUCGAUUUGGGGAUUGGGCUAUAUGCUUGGUGCCNNUAGCUAACGUGAUAAAUCGACCGCCUGGGG